RNAcentral lists this ribosomal RNA (723 nucleotides) under uncultured bacterium. RNAcentral's name for it is "bacterial SSU rRNA". It matches the Rfam family "Bacterial small subunit ribosomal RNA", at positions 127 to 851 of the family's 1533-position model. The record is from RNAcentral.
UGCCCGUUGCCCGGGGACAACCGGUGGAAACGCCGACUAAUCCCCGAUGGGAUACGAUGCUUCAUGGCAUUGUAUUGAAAGUUACGGCGGCGACGGAUUGGCUCGCGUCCGAUUAGCUGGUUGGCGGGGUAACGGCCCACCAAGGCUACGAUCGGUAGGGGUUCUGAGAGGAAGGCCCCCCACAAUGGGACUGAGACACGGCCCAUACUCCUACGGGAGGCAGCAGUGAGGAAUAUUGGUCAAUGGGCGGAAGCCUGAACCAGCCAUGCCGCGUGCGGGAAGGAGGCCCUAUGGGCUGUGAACCGCUUUUGCCUGGGGGCAAUAAGGGCGUCGCGCACGUCCGAUGAGAGUACCAGGCGAAUAAGCAUCGGCUAACUCCGUGCCAGCAGCCGCGGUAAUACGGGGGAUGCGAGCGUUAUCCGGAUUCAUUGGGUUUAAAGGGUGCGUAGGCUGUGCGUCAAGUCGGGGGUGAAAUUCCGGUGCUCAACACCGGGGCUGCCCUUGAUACUGUCGCGCUGGAGUGCGGAUGCCGCCGGAGGAAUGAGUGGUGUAGCGGUGAAAUGCUUAGAUAUCACUCAGAACACCGAUUGCGAAGGCAUCUGGCGAAUCCGUAACUGACGCUGAGGCACGAAAGCGUGGGGAUAGAACAGGAUUAGAUACCCUGGUAUUCCACGCCGUAAACGAUGAUGGCUAACCGCCGGCGACACACUGUCGGUGGCCAAG